RNAcentral lists this ribosomal RNA (458 nucleotides) under uncultured bacterium. RNAcentral describes it as "bacterial SSU rRNA". It matches the Rfam family "Bacterial small subunit ribosomal RNA", at positions 340 to 786 of the family's 1533-position model. The record is from RNAcentral.
UACGGGAGGCAGCAGUGGGGAAUAUUGCACAAUGGGCGCAAGCCUGAUGCAGCCAUGCCGCGUGUAUGAAGAAGGCCUUCGGGUUGUAAAGUACUUUCAGUCGUGAGGAAGGUGUUAAGGUUAAUAACCUUAGCAAUUGACGUUAGCGACAGAAGAAGCACCGGCUAACUCCGUGCCAGCAGCCGCGGUAAUACGGAGGGUGCGAGCGUUAAUCGGAAUUACUGGGCGUAAAGGGCACGCAGGCGGUUAAUUAAGUUGGAUGUGAAAUCCCCGGGCUUAACCUGGGAAUGGCAUUCAAGACUGGUUAGCUAGAGUCUUGUAGAGGGGGUAGAAUUCCAUGUGUAGCGGUGAAAUGCGUAGAGAUGUGGAGGAAUACCGGGUGGCGAAGGCGGCCCCUGGGACAAAGGACUGACGCUCGAUGUGCGAAAGCGUGGGGAGCGAAACAGGGAUUAGAUACC